AGACCAGAGUGAUCUCUUUGGCAGCACAUAUACGAUACAAAGAACAUUAGCAUGGCCCCUGCACAAGGAUGACAUGCAAGUGCUCCAUAUUUAA
Oryctolagus cuniculus (rabbit) is the source of this 94-nucleotide small nuclear RNA. Lineage: Eukaryota; Metazoa; Chordata; Mammalia; Lagomorpha; Leporidae. The record is from Ensembl.